Molecule: ribosomal RNA, 216 nt
Filed under: Glomeromycotina sp.
Lineage: Eukaryota; Fungi; Glomeromycota
Description: partial small subunit ribosomal RNA
Rfam family: Eukaryotic small subunit ribosomal RNA (bases 40-216)
Source: RNAcentral
GGGUCAGUAGGUUGGUCGUGCCACUGGUACGUACUGGUCUCACUGAUUCCUCCUUCCUGAAGAACCGUAAUGCCAUUAAUUUGGUGUUGCGGGGAAACAGGACUGUUACUUUGAAAAAACUAGAGUGUUUAAAGCAAGCUAACGCUUGAAUACAUUAGCAUGGAAUAAUGAAAUAGGACGAUCGAUCCUAUUUUGUUGGUUUCUAGGAUUGACGUA